This 481-nucleotide ribosomal RNA is filed under the name uncultured bacterium. RNAcentral describes it as "bacterial SSU rRNA". It matches the Rfam family "Bacterial small subunit ribosomal RNA", at positions 29 to 506 of the family's 1533-position model. The record is from RNAcentral.
AUGAACGCUAGCGGCAGGCCUAAUACAUGCAAGUCGAGGGGCAGCACGGGUAGCAAUAUCUGGUGGCGACCGGCGCACGGGUGCGUAACACGUAUACAAUCUGCCUUUUACAGGAGGAUAGCCUUUCGAAAGAGAGAUUAAUACCCCAUAAUACAUGAAAUAGCAUUAUUUUAUGUUGAAAGCUCCGGCGGUAAAAGAUGAGUAUGCGUCCUAUUAGCUAGUUGGUAGUGUAACGGACUACCAAGGCUACGAUAGGUAGGGGAUCUGAGAGGACUACCCCCCACACUGGUACUGAGACACGGACCAGACUCCUACGGGAGGCAGCAGUAAGGAAUAUUGGUCAAUGGGGGCAACCCUGAACCAGCCAUGCCGCGUGCAGGAAGAAGGCCCUAUGGGUCGUAAACUGCUUUUAUACGGGAGAAAACCUGGGUACGUGUACCCAGUUGAUAGUACUGUAAGAAUAAGGAUCGGCUAACUUCGU